Transfer RNA from Gorilla gorilla gorilla (western lowland gorilla), 73 nucleotides. It matches the Rfam family "tRNA". Rfam says of the family: Transfer RNA (tRNA) molecules are approximately 80 nucleotides in length. Their secondary structure includes four short double-helical elements and three loops (D, anti-codon, and T loops). Further hydrogen bonds mediate the characteristic L-shaped molecular structure. tRNAs have two regions of fundamental functional importance: the anti-codon, which is responsible for specific mRNA codon recognition, and the 3' end, to which the tRNAs corresponding amino acid is attached (by aminoacyl-tRNA synthetases). tRNAs cope with the degeneracy of the genetic code in two manners: having more than one tRNA (with a specific anti-codon) for a particular amino acid; and 'wobble' base-pairing, i.e. permitting non-standard base-pairing at the 3rd anti-codon position. NCBI's taxonomy places the organism in Eukaryota, Metazoa, Chordata, Mammalia, Primates, Hominidae. The record is from Rfam.
GGCUGUGUACCUCAGUGGGCAAGGGUAUGGACUUUGAAGCCAGACUAUUUGGGUUCAAAUCCCAGCUUGGCCU